UACGGAGGAUGCAAGCGUUAUCCGGAAUUAUUGGGCGUAAAGCGUCCGUAGGUGGCUAAUCAAGUCUGCUGUCAAAGCGUGGAGCUUAACUCCAUAACGGCAGUGGAAACUGAUGAGCUAGAGUGCGAUAGGGGUAGCAGGAAUUCCCAGUGUAGCGGUGAAAUGCGUAGAGAUUGGGAAGAACACCAGCGGCGAAAGCGUGCUACUGGGUCUGCACUGACACUGAGGGACGAAAGCUAGGGGAGCGAAAGGG
This 253-nucleotide ribosomal RNA is filed under the name uncultured bacterium. Its description in RNAcentral is "partial 16S ribosomal RNA". It matches the Rfam family "Bacterial small subunit ribosomal RNA", at positions 524 to 776 of the family's 1533-position model. The record is from RNAcentral. RNAcentral also lists the same sequence under 1 other name.